AUGGACAAAAAGUCCAGAGGACAGAUCACAGUGACUCAGCCUGGAGCAGUGAGCUCUGCUGUGGGAGGAUCUGUGACCAUCAAGUGUAGGACCAGUCAGAAUGUUUAUAACAACAACUGGUUAGCCUGGUACCAACAGAAAGAUGGAGGAGUUCCUAAACUGCUCAUUUACUGGUCUAGCACUCGAGCAUCAGGGAUUCCAGCUCGUUUUACAGGCAGUGGAUCAAACUCUGACUUCACUCUGACCAUCAGUGGAGUCCAGGCUGACGAUGCAGCAGUUUAUUACUGUCAGAGUCAUCACUAUCCUAACAGUCAGGAGGUGUUCACACAGUGA
Non-coding RNA from Pelmatolapia mariae (spotted tilapia), 333 nucleotides. The record is from the annotation of a RefSeq genome assembly. NCBI's taxonomy places the organism in Eukaryota, Metazoa, Chordata, Actinopteri, Cichliformes, Cichlidae.